RNAcentral lists this ribosomal RNA (508 nucleotides) under uncultured bacterium. RNAcentral describes it as "partial 16S ribosomal RNA". It matches the Rfam family "Bacterial small subunit ribosomal RNA", at positions 28 to 507 of the family's 1533-position model. The record is from RNAcentral.
GACGAACGCUGGCGGCGUGCCUAAUACAUGCAAGUCGAACGCUUCUUUCCUCCCGAGUGCUUGCACUCAAUUGGAAAGAGGAGUGGCGGACGGGCGAGUAACACGUGGGUAACCUACCCAUCAGAGGGGGAUGACACUUGGAAACAGGUGCUAAUACCGCAUAACAGUUUAUGCCGCAUGGCAUAAGAGUGAAAGGCGCUUUCGGGUGUCGCUGAUGGAUGGACCCGCGGUGCAUUAGCUAGUUGGUGAGGUAACGGCUCACCAAGGCCACGAUGCAUAGCCGACCUGAGGGGGUGAUCGGCCACACUGGGACUGAGACACGGCCCAGACUCCUACGGGAGGCAGCAGUAGGGAAUCUUCGGCAAUGGACGAAAGUCUGACCGAGCAACGCCGCGUGAGUGAAGAAGGUUUUCGGAUCGUAAAACUCUGUUGUUAGAGAAGAACAAGGACGUUAGUAACUGAACGUCCCCUGACGGUAUCUAACCAGAAAGCCACGGCUAACUACGUG